UAUUACGUUAGCUACUUUUAAAAUACUUUUAAGUCAUUUGGAUGGUUGGUUAAGUUUUGUUAGCUUAAUUUAAAACAUUGUUUAAUCGUGUGAAUGGCUGGAGGGAUAAGGUAAUUUAAUUUCGAACACUGUUCAAUUAUUUGAAUGAUUGGUUGUAUACAAUAUUCAUUUAAAAUACUGUAUAUUGGUGUAAAUGUUUGGGUAAGUUACGUUAGCCACAUUAAAAAUACUUAACGGCGUUCUUCGGGAUAGGUGUUAUUCAAAAAACCAUUAAAUGUUCUUAAUGGAGAACCUUCUCUAGAAAAUUAGCAUUACUUGAAAUAGGGAUAACAAUCUGCAGGUAGAGAAGUAAAGAUUGUGUUAGGUAAGUUCCGGGAAGAGGAGUGGCAGAUUUUGCAUUUAAAACUGCAGAAUAAAAAGUACGAAUUUUUGAAAAAUUUAAAUAUUUAAGCUUUGUGAAACGAUUAAUAACCAUGCAACAUUUUUAAAUAAUCAAUAUUAAUAUUACAAGAGUGACAUAUUUUUAAUUAUAUAAUCUUGAUUUUUGAAAUAAAUGCUUUUUUUUUCGGAUGAGGUUGUACUAACCAGCGAAAUGAUUUUUUUUCCGUAUCUAAACUACCGCGUUAUUAUUUUCCUGCCUAGUAUUUUGUUAGUACAAUAUAUAGUACACAAUAUAUAGUGCACAAAAUAAUUUAUUACGGUUGUGGCAAACAACAGUUAACUGGUGUCACUGCUACAAAAGUUUAACAUUAUUUAGCCAAACUUGUGUUGUGAAUGUAUUACACUGAAAUAAAUAAUAAAAUCACUUCAGGCUAUAUAAAAAAAGAUUGUCAAAAUUAAAUGAUAUCGUAGCUUUCGUCCAUUCGAAACCUAAAUUGGGCGGAGACAAAACAAAAUACAGAAAAAAACUUAUUUUGUAAUAAAUGAGGCAAUAAAAUUAGUUAUAGGUAUCUAAUUUCUUAAUUUAUUUACUUGAAUGGAAAUAAAUUUGCCAUUAGAAUCAUCAUUUGUUGAUAACCGCCGUUCUAACAAAAUGUAAAACUCAGAUUAACGUAUAUUUCCGUAUACAUAGCCUACUUUAGCAAAAUAUCUCCAGAGUGACGUCACAAAUUGCUAGCCAGUGAAAGAGAAAGGUGCGCAAAAGGAUACAUAUAUAACUUCACGAUGAUUCACCCGUUAUGUUCACAGUUGACAGAACAGAAGAACGAAUGAAUAUCAAGCAAUGAUUUGUGUAACAUUUUCUUAAGUGUUAUGAGUACGUAAUAAAUAUUCUCGCAGAAACUGUAUGGUGUUAUGUAGGCUGAAGUAUCUAUUUAUUCGAUUUUUUAUUUAUUAGAAAACAAUUUGAUCCGAUUUCCGCAUAGUAGACGCAGCGUCGCACUGCGUGGCUGCGACUGGUUGAUAAUCGCUGGCUCCUCUGUGACAUUGUGGGCAUUGGUGAAUCAAGCUUGUCGUGAAUGUCAGUGCGCUUGCAAACUGACUCCCCUGCUGCAGCUCAUACACCGGUCGUCACUGGAUUCUGAUGUACUUUGUAAUAAUUAAGAUAGUUUCUGAACCAGAACAGUUGAUAAGCUACGGUCCUGAAUCAAAAAAGGUAAAUUUAAAAUGUGUCGUAACUUUAUCUUUGAGCCUCAUUUAGAAAAUGUUAACAUACUCACCUUUCAUUGUUAGGUACAUAUUUUUUUACACAAUCCCGCAUAACCCUGAAAGUUAUAAAAAUUCUUCCAAUGUAUGAAUUUCCCAAUUACAUACAUAUUGAUAAUGCCGAAUGUGGACUUUAUAUAUAUAUACACAUGCAUACUUACACAUAUAUGUAUAAUAAUUGAAAGAAAAUGUUUGCUUCAAUGUCUCCCCUAUAAAUAAUAAAUGAAUUACCUAUAUGAUUAAAUAUCCGUGUUCUUAGUGGAUAUAACUAGGAAAAUCUGCAUAAUUUGUAUGUAUUUUGGUAGUUAUUAAAAAAGUACAAUUAAACUUACAAUAUUAUGAAUUGUCAUACCUCUAAUGUUAAAUUUUACUCUUGUACAGAUAGCACACUGUAUCUAAGUAACAUAAUUAAGAUGUCACAGAUAUAAUAAUUAAUACUUAAUAAUUUUAUUCGACAAUGUGUUUCCGAUUCAUUUGACUUCUUGCAAAUGGGUUAUAAAUUAAGUAUAACUCCAGAGACGUACCAAAUUAGGUUACCUUGAAAAACUCAUGACGUCAGCGUGUAUGGUUUAUGUGUUAGGGAAAAUUUAUUCAAAUACUGUGUAUUAAAAAAGUGCAUGACAUGGUA
This is a long non-coding RNA of Bacillus rossius redtenbacheri, 2272 nucleotides long. RefSeq lists it as uncharacterized. The record is from RefSeq and is a predicted model, not a curated record. Lineage: Eukaryota; Metazoa; Arthropoda; Insecta; Phasmatodea; Bacillidae. The transcript has 2 exons.